RNAcentral lists this ribosomal RNA (118 nucleotides) under Tilletiaria anomala. The record is from RNAcentral. Lineage: Eukaryota; Fungi; Basidiomycota; Exobasidiomycetes; Georgefischeriales; Tilletiariaceae.
AUCCGCGGCCAUAGGAUCAGGAAAGCACCGCAUCCCGUCCGAUCUGCGAAGUUAAGCCUGAUACCGCCGAGUUAGUACUAAGGUAGGGGACUACUUGGGAAUCCUGGGUGCUGCGGUU